Molecule: ribosomal RNA, 119 nt
Filed under: Pteropus alecto (black flying fox)
Lineage: Eukaryota; Metazoa; Chordata; Mammalia; Chiroptera; Pteropodidae
Also listed under: 1 other name
Source: RNAcentral
GUCUACAGCCAUGCUACCCUGAACAAGUCCCAUCUCAUCUGAUCUCGGAAGCUAAGUAGGGUCGGGCCUGGUUAGUACUUGGAUGGGAGACUACCUAGGAAGACCAGGUGCUGUAGGCA